Molecule: ribosomal RNA, 318 nt
Filed under: uncultured fungus
Lineage: Eukaryota; Fungi
Description: bacterial SSU rRNA
Rfam family: Eukaryotic small subunit ribosomal RNA
Source: RNAcentral
UGUAGUCAUAUGCUUGUCUCAAAGAUUAAGCCAUGCAUGUCUAAGUAUAAGCAAUUAUACAGCGAAACUGCGAAUGGCUCAUUAUAUAAGUUAUCGUUUAUUUGAUAGUACCUUACUACUUGGAUAACCGUAGUAAUUCUAGAGCUAAUACAUGCUAAAAAACCCGACUCUCGGAAGGGUUGUAUUUAUUAGAUAAAAAACCAAUGCGGUCUCGGCCGGUUAUUUGGUGAUUCAUAAUAACUUUGCGAAUCGUAUGACUUUGCGUCGACGAUGAUUCAUUCAAAUUUCUGCCCUAUCAACUUUCGAUGGUAAGGUAUU